GUUGCCAUCGGGCGAGCCGGGCACUCUGGAGGGACUGCCGGCGACAAGCCGGAGGAAGGUGGGGAGUGACGUCAAGUCAUCAUGGCCCUUAUGUCCAGGGCGACACACGUGCUACAAUGGCCGGCACAGCGGGAAGCGGAGGGGCGACCCUGAGCGGAUCCCUUGAAAGCCGGUCCCAGUUCGGAUUGCAGUCUGCAACUCGACUGCAUGAAGUUGGAAUCGCUAGUAAUCGCGGAUCAGCCAAGCCGCGGUGAAUACGUUCCCGGGCCUU
RNAcentral lists this ribosomal RNA (271 nucleotides) under uncultured Thermovirga sp. Its description in RNAcentral is "partial 16S ribosomal RNA". It matches the Rfam family "Bacterial small subunit ribosomal RNA", at positions 1114 to 1382 of the family's 1533-position model. Lineage: Bacteria; Thermotogati; Synergistota; Synergistia; Synergistales; Thermovirgaceae. The record is from RNAcentral.